Molecule: long non-coding RNA, 4086 nt
Organism: Canis lupus familiaris (dog)
Lineage: Eukaryota; Metazoa; Chordata; Mammalia; Carnivora; Canidae
Exons: 3
Source: RefSeq, a predicted model, not a curated record
GCUGGGCUCCCGAGGGCCGGGAGGGAGCGGCUGCCUCAGCUGAGCGCACCCAGCACGGGGCCUUGGCGGGCAGUGGUGCCACCACCCAGGGAACCCGAGGCCCCGGGGCAGCUCCUGCCAGGCCACGGUCAAGGGCACGUUUUCCGCUCCAGGAAUCUUUCCAGGGGUCCUGUGAGAAGAGUUGUGACCAAACUGCCAGCUACAAACGGACGUCAGAGCCCCCAGAGAGAGACACGGAGCGUGGCGGGUAGAGUGUGAACCGGGUGAACGGAGUGUGAAACUGUUGUCUCCUCUGAGCCAAUAAAGGACACAGGUGAGGGACUGGCCAGUUCUUGGGUCCUCGGGGACUGAGGAGCUCGUCACGUGUGUUUUCUUUGGGUCACCACCUUUUUGCUGACCCUUUUGUUCUUAGGGGCCUCUGCCACUUGCUGCCUCCCCUGGAAAGCCAGACUGGGGGAAAUAAGAGGGAAAAUCAAGGGACGCCUGGGUGGCGCAGCGGUUUAGCGCCUGCCUUUGGCUCAGGGCCUGAUCCUGGAGACCCGGGAUCGAGUCCCACAUCGGGCUCCGUGCAUGGAGCCUGCUUCUCCCUCUGCCUGUGUCUCUGCCUCUCUCUCUCUCUCUCUGUCUCUCAUAAAUAAAUAAGUAGAAUCUUAAAAAAAAGAAAAAAGAAGGAAAAUCAUGUACCUCUGACAGAGGGAGAGGGAGAUUGCCAAACCAUUCCACACACAAUAGGAUAUUGAAAUUCCUUACACAUCCAUCCAGCACUUUACAGAUUACAAACUACCUUUAUAUUCGUUAUCUCAACUACUCCUCACAGCAACCUGCCAAGGGAGACAGAGGCUACCUGUCUACCUAUGAGUAGGUAUGAAUUAUCUAUGAGACCAUUAGUCCCGUUCUGCAGAUGAGAAACUGGUCCUUAUGGUGGUUAAGCGGCAGAACCAGAGUCUGACCUCGGAAGCACAGAAUCAUAGCAUCACAGAGUUAGAAGGCACCUUCACAGCAGUAACCCAGGGCAUCCUUCUCUCAGAGCCUGAAUCACCUUAUAAGGUUUCUGAGAUUUCCUCUUCUUCUUGCUUGGCCUCUUCCAAUGGUGAGAAACUCACAAUUCUUUGAGGCAACCCAUUAUUAACACUGAGCAAAGCCCUUCUCCUUGUGACAUUCAGCUCUUAAGUCAUCUCUGCCCUCGAGAACUGUACCAAAGGAAGGCAAAUUCUAAUUCCCCUUCUUUUUGAAAUUUGGGGUUAUCACUCUUGCUCAUCUCUUCCAGGUUAAAUACCUGCACUUCUUUCUCCUGUUACUCAUGAUGGUUCAUGAUGUAGUUACUGGGUACAGUGCCUGAAAUAUAUAGUAGAUACUCAAAUGUCUGUUGAAUUGGUUCUCUGGCCCUUGGUCCUGUGCUCCUUCCCUGACCACAGUUAGCCCCCAUGUUGUAAUCUGUUUCUCAUUUGCUUGUUUAUUUAAAUAAUAGGGAGAAAGACACCAUCAUAUGGUUUCUACUUUCGAAUCACAGAGUUUUCAGAAUAAUUUGAAAACAUAAUCAAAACUGUCCAGAUUUCAAACAGCUUUUAAUUAAUUUGCGCUAACAAGACUUGUUCUCUGACUUAAUUGCUCAUUAGAGAGUUGAAUUCACUGAGCAUCUCCUGUACAUAAGACGCCACACGGAGCACUGUGGAGAGUGUCCAUGUAAUUAAAACCUGUAGUGGAGGCCGGGUUAAUGUGAGGUCUGACUGGAAGACCCUGCAGGAGUGUAUCAUGCAGUAGUGCUGUUUUGCCCAUUAAAAGAAGCAGCAUUCAAUUCUAGGGCACCACCAGAUGAAAAGCCAGGCUCUGUCUUCCAAAGACAGUUCCAGUGGAAGCCCUGACUAUUUUUAGCUGGUCUCGGUGUGAGAAACAAGCACCCGUGUCAAAGUGCUGAAGCUGUGUCAUUCUCAAUGAGGCAGGAUGCAGCCAGCUUCGUGCCUCUUACAUAAGCGCUGUGCCAGGACGAACAGCAAACAAUCCUGGUAAGUCAAGAGCCAGGGAACAGAGGGUGAGUCGUGCCCUGCGUGUAUAAAGGAAACCAGAGUCAAUGGCUCCCCAUCGCAAGGGACUAUGCUUACUCAUUAAAGUAAUAACCCUAGAAGGGUUUUGAUGGCAAAUAAGUCAAACCAAGCACCUAAACACACAAUUCCAGACAAGGCUCUCUGGUUUAAAUUAUCCCACUAUCACAGACUGGAUUGAAAGCCAUUUGAAAUUUGUACAACUUGAUCAGGUUUUCAAGUCGUUCCCAAAACUCUGUGGUUUGGAAGUAUAUGUUUUUCCCAUUCUAUUACCUAAAUAAACAAAUGUUUAAAAACCUACUCUCUUUAUAUCGCCAGUGCUAAUACUUUAGAAAUGGAGUGAUAUUAGCCCUUUUCUCCUCUUGAGGUUCACAAAAAGCUGCAUUUGCAAAGGGGUAUUUCAUAUGAUAGUCUUAAGGGCAGAGGAGCUUCGAAAUUGAGUGGUGACCUCCCUUCACACAGAACAUCUGCUCUGUCAUCACAUGGGAGGUGAUAGAGUCUUGACAGGUACAGCAUGGAGGGGACUUCGAGUCAAGUAGGACCCUCCAUUCAGCAAGGAGGAGGACAGCCCUGAGUCAAAAGAGAAAUUGUAGCGAAAUAUGGCAGAUGGUUCUUACUGGAGGACACUUGGAUGCCCUGGAGCCUGUGCCCAUAAUACUACUGACUGUGCUUUCUCUUUUCCUCUUCAGAAGAACUCAUCCAUGGCCUUCUUACAUAAACCCAAGGAGACCUUUGGGGGCCAGUUGGUCCAACACACUCAAACGAAGAAAGUGAGAUUAGGCGAGGUUGUGUGGUUUGCAAAAAAAAUAGCAGACCCAGACGUAGAAGGCAGGACUGCAGCACCCAGUCUGGCCCUCUUUCUUGUUUAUCAUGCUGCCUCCUGAUGUCUGGGAAGAUUCACGCAGUGAAUGUGUAGCUGCCCACAGCUGGGCGUUUUCACCCCUUCACUUGAGUGGUUUUAUCUACAGGUGGAGGGAGAGGUACCGAUCUCAGAAGAGUAUGGGUUAAAGACCGAGGUGGGGGUGCAGGGUAGUUUAGGAGGGAGAAUAGACAGAGCGAGGCAGGAAAGUGGGGAUAAAAAGGAAAAGAAGGUACUAGAGCAAUACAUGAAGAAUAAAAUGGGGGACGUGUAAGGAACAAAUACAGAGAGGAGAAAUUGCCUGAGAAGAAGAAGAAAAGGACUUUUUUCUAAUUAUGAGCAGCAAACUGAGGCAACCCAGGACCGAAAAGAAGUCAGAAAGAGGGAAGAAAGAAGAGCAAAUGGAGCCAGGGAAAGAGAAGGAAACAGGGAGAUCGUGAGAACCCCAGGAGCUGCGUGGGCUGAGUGUGUACAAGCAGAGGCUGGUGAAAUGGAUUAAAUGAUGUAACAUAUGGAAAGAGGACUUGUGUCCAGUAAGGCACAGGCUAAAUUGGAGACAUCAUGAUGAUUUCUGUGUGAUGCUUCCUCUGCUAUGUUCCCGGUGACUAAGGAGAGGGCCCCAGUGCUGAAUACUCCAUAAAUUCUUAUUUAAUUGGAUCGCUGAGAGAUGGAAGACAGAAGGGGAUGUGGCUCUCAAGCCAAGCCAAGGAUGUGUCAGCCCAUGGUCUCUAAUGGCAGAAGCAAGCUUGCUCCUACAAGACCAGGUAACAUAUAGAGGUAGCCGGCAGCACUUCCCUGAGUAAUUAACGGGCACAAGAGAAAAUUAAGUGCUGUGCUCUCCUACCUCAGGGUCUCCACAUCGUCUGUCCCUCUAGCUAGACCUCGUCCCAAUCUCCACUUUCUCCUCAGGUCUCAGCUUAAAUGUUCCUUCUUCCAGGAAGUUCCAUCUGACUUCCCCCCAAAAAGUUAGCUCCCCCAGGUACAAGCUGUCAGGACACUUGGCAUUUCUCCUUGGAAAUAUGUCUUUGAGCCACCACUACGUCAAACAUUAAUUAUUGAUUUUCUUGACAGACAGUGGGAACAGUAUUUUUCAUAUUUUAAAAAAUCACCGAAUUCUUAGUCCCUUGCACUUUUAAUAAAUAUAUUUGGAAGGAAAUCCCUGGGUGGCUCAGGGGUUGAGUGCCUGCC